AAGCCAGGACUGCUUUUCUGGAGUGAUAAUGUGCUUGCCUGUGUCUAAGAGAAAGUACCCUGGCUGAUAAAUGGGACUUGGAUUUUAAAUACCAUUGGAUAAUAAAUGUAUGUGAUGGCUUUGGAGCAAAUUGAUUGACAAUGGCUAGGAGACAGCUUCCCAAGGCUGGAAAGAGGGGAGUGCGGAACAUGCCUCCACCAUACCACUGCCCACCUCCUGUGACCUCUGCAGCAAAACCUGAAGCCCCAAAGAGGCAGCUUCUCAAAGUAAAAGUGGAAUGAAGUUCCUGGUGACCUGAAUUCCCAUGGAGGAAAGAGGAAAAGGACAUUAUGCAAGGAGAUGGCAUCUCGUGUCCCUGGUGAACCAAAUUCCAUUAGGAAGACGGUGCAGUGUGAGGUGGACCUGGACCUGGAUAAAAUGGGUGUUUAACAAGUAUUUGUUGAGUAGGUGGUGGAGGAGGCACGACUAGAUGCAGGGUCUAGCUGAGUUGACAAGAGCUAACACCAGGUGUGGACCAGGACAGGGGGACCUUAAGCGAAGACACCCUGCCAGAUGUGUCUUGUUCCCUUGACUGUGGGGAGGCCCUUGGUGGUGGGGUGACGGUCCCCCAGUCUGAGGAUUUUCCCUGGAUGUAGCCUCUCAGUGCUAAAAUGGGACAGUCCCAGGCAAACCAGGUCAGUUGGUCACUCUACUCAGUGAGCCCCGUGCUGUGUUCAAAUUUUCCUCUUAACAGAUGUGGAUGGAUUUCGGAAACUUAGAAACCACCAUUUCUCUGUGCCUGGGAGGAGAGUUAAAUCUUCUCACCAGAAUCCUUUUAUGUGUGAGAGAAAUAAAUAUCUAUCCUUUUUAUAUCUCUUUUGUUUUGGAUUCUUUGUCACCAGCAGCCAAACCCAAUUCUUACAUAAACGUGAUACUAAUUAAAUUCAUUUGCAUAAACUCACCAGUUUUAUCCUUAAUUACUGUGAUAUACACUCAUGAAGUAUGUACCCUAAAAUACCACUGUAAGUUUUAUUUGAUUACAGCAUUAAACUUAAUUUACAGAAA
Molecule: long non-coding RNA, 1044 nt
Filed under: Homo sapiens (human)
Lineage: Eukaryota; Metazoa; Chordata; Mammalia; Primates; Hominidae
Description: non-protein coding ITGB1-DT:34
Source: RNAcentral